GACGAACGCUGGCGGCGUGCUUAACACAUGCAAGUCGAACGGAAAGGCCCCUUCGGGGGUCCUCGAGUGGCGAACGGGUGAGUAACACGUGAGUAACCUGCCCUUGACUUCGGGAUAACUUCAGGAAACUGGGGCUAAUACCGGAUAGGAAUCCUUGCUGCAUGGUGGGGGUUGGAAAGCUUCGGCGGUUUUGGAUGGACUCGCGGCUUAUCAGCUUGUUGGUGGGGUAGUGGCUUACCAAGGCUUUGAAGGGUAGCCGGCCUGAGAGGGCGACCGGCCACAUUGGGACUGAGAUACGGCCCAGACUCCUACGGGAGGCAGCAGUGGGGAAUAUUGCACAAUGGGCGGAAGCCUGAUGCAGCAACGCCGCGUGCGGGAUGACGGCCUUCGGGUUGUAAACCGCUUUCAGCAGGGGCGAAGCUUGUGGUGACGGUACCUGCAGAAGAAGCACCGGCUAACUACGUG
RNAcentral lists this ribosomal RNA (465 nucleotides) under uncultured bacterium. Its description in RNAcentral is "partial 16S ribosomal RNA". It matches the Rfam family "Bacterial small subunit ribosomal RNA", at positions 28 to 507 of the family's 1533-position model. The record is from RNAcentral.